CGCGAAAACUUUACAAUGCGGGAAACCGUGAUAAGGGGACACCGAGUGCCAGCAUCAUAUGCUGGCUGUCCGGGUGUGUAAAAUACACCUGUUAGCAAGGGCCGGGCAAGACCGGUGCCAGCCGCCGCGGUAACACCGGCGGCCCGAGUGGUGAUCGUGAUUAUUGGGUCUAAAGGGUCCGUAGCCGGUUUGGUCAGUCCUCCGGGAAAUCUGAUAGCUCAACUAUUAGGCUUUCGGGGGAUACUGCCAGGCUUGGAACCGGGAGAGGUAAGAGGUACUACAGGGGUAGGAGUGAAAUCUUGUAAUCCCUGUGGGACCACCUGUGGCGAAGGCGUCUUACCAGAACGGGUUCGACGGUGAGGGACGAAAGCUGGGGGCACGAACCGGAUUAGAUACCCGGGUAGUCCCAGCCGUAAACGAUGCUCGCUAGGUGUCAGGCAUGGCGCGACCGUGUCUGGUGCCGC
Molecule: ribosomal RNA, 464 nt
Filed under: uncultured Methanosarcina sp.
Lineage: Archaea; Methanobacteriati; Methanobacteriota; Methanomicrobia; Methanosarcinales; Methanosarcinaceae
Description: bacterial SSU rRNA
Rfam family: Archaeal small subunit ribosomal RNA
Source: RNAcentral